RNAcentral lists this ribosomal RNA (379 nucleotides) under uncultured cyanobacterium. RNAcentral's name for it is "bacterial SSU rRNA". It matches the Rfam family "Bacterial small subunit ribosomal RNA", at positions 376 to 770 of the family's 1533-position model. Lineage: Bacteria; Bacillati; Cyanobacteriota. The record is from RNAcentral.
CGAAAGCCUGACGGAGCAAUACCGCGUGAGGGAGGAAGGUCUUUGGAUUGUAAACCUCUUUUCUCAAGGAAGAAGUUCUGACGGUACUUGAGGAAUAAGCACCGGCUAACUCCGUGCCAGCAGCCGCGGUAAUACGGAGGGUGCAAGCGUUAUCCGGAAUUAUUGGGCGUAAAGCGUCCGCAGGUGGCAAUUCAAGUCUGCUGUCAAAGCACGGGGCUUAACUCCGUAAAGGCAGUGGAAACUGAAUAGCUAGAGUGCCGUAGGGGUAGAGGGAAUUCCCGGUGUAGCGGUGAAAUGCGUAGAGAUCGGGAAGAACAUCGGUGGCGAAAGCGCUCUACUGGACGGCAACUGACACUCAGGGACGAAAGCUAGGGGAGCG